Long non-coding RNA from Salvia miltiorrhiza (redroot sage), 331 nucleotides. RefSeq lists it as uncharacterized. NCBI's taxonomy places the organism in Eukaryota, Viridiplantae, Streptophyta, Magnoliopsida, Lamiales, Lamiaceae. The record is from RefSeq and is a predicted model, not a curated record. The transcript has 2 exons.
AUUUUUCUCACUGAUUUAGAGUUUUUAGACUUAAAUAUGUUUAAAACGUUAAUUUUGUCAAUCCAAGACAUUAACUCAUUUGCUUAUUAUUUAGUUCAUUGGUGUUUGGCAGGGUGUUGACAUACCAAUAAAACCUUCUCCAAAGGCAUGACUGGAAGAAGCUUUCAAGGUGAGUUUUAAUAGUUUUAGUUCUUUCCAGAGCAUGUAAAGACACCAAGUUCUUCCAAACCUAUUGUCCAUAAAUACAUUUAUGAGGUUUAAUUAUAUGAGCUAUUGUAAGUUGGAACAUUAGGGACAAAAUAAUUAAAAUAACAUAUUUUUAUUGAAAUAA